CAACUUUCAACAACGGAUCUCUNGGCUCUCGCAUCGAUGAAGAACGCAGCGAAAUGCGAUAAGUAAUGUGAAUUGCAGAAUUCAGUGAAUCAUCGAAUCUUUGAACGCACCUUGCGCUCCUUGGUAUUCCGAGGAGCAUGCCUGUUUGAGUGUCAUU
Molecule: ribosomal RNA, 157 nt
Filed under: Fuscoporia gilva
Lineage: Eukaryota; Fungi; Basidiomycota; Agaricomycetes; Hymenochaetales; Hymenochaetaceae
Description: 5.8S ribosomal RNA
Rfam family: 5.8S ribosomal RNA
About the family: 5.8S ribosomal RNA (5.8S rRNA) is a component of the large subunit of the eukaryotic ribosome. It is transcribed by RNA polymerase I as part of the 45S precursor that also contains 18S and 28S rRNA.
Source: RNAcentral